This 254-nucleotide ribosomal RNA is filed under the name uncultured bacterium. RNAcentral describes it as "partial 16S ribosomal RNA". It matches the Rfam family "Bacterial small subunit ribosomal RNA", at positions 524 to 776 of the family's 1533-position model. The record is from RNAcentral.
UACGUAGGCAGCGAGCGUUGUUCGGAAUUACUGGGCGUAAAGAGUGUGUAGGCGGUGCUCCCAGUCUGUUGUGAAAUCUCCCGGCUUAACUGGGAGGGUGCAGCGGAAACUAGAGUGCUAGAGGGGUGGGAGAGGUAAGCGGAAUUCCUGGUGUAGCGGUGAAAUGCGUAGAUAUCAGGAGGAACACCGGUGGCGAAGGCGGGUCUCUGGGCAACAACUGACGCUGAGGAGCGAAAGCGUGGGGAGCGAACAGG